Molecule: ribosomal RNA, 492 nt
Filed under: uncultured bacterium
Lineage: Bacteria
Description: partial 16S ribosomal RNA
Rfam family: Bacterial small subunit ribosomal RNA
Source: RNAcentral
AGUGAACGCUGGCGGUAGGCCUAACACAUGCAAGUCGAACGGCAGCACAGUAAGAGCUUGCUCUUACGGGUGGCGAGUGGCGGACGGGUGAGGAAUACAUCGGAAUCUACUUUUUCGUGGGGGAUAACGUAGGGAAACUUACGCUAAUACCGCAUACGACCUACGGGUGAAAGCAGGGGAUCUUCGGACCUUGCGCGAUUGAAUGAGCCGAUGUCGGAUUAGCUAGUUGGCGGGGUAAAGGCCCACCAAGGCGACGAUCCGUAGCUGGUCUGAGAGGAUGGACGGCUACAGUGGGAAAGAGACACGGUCCAGAGGCCGCCGGGAGGCGCCCGUCGGGCGUCGUCAACAAUGGGCUGAAGACUGAAGGCGCGAUGCGGCGUGAGGGAUGCAGGUCUUCGGAUCGUAAAACUCUCUGAUUGGAGCAGAAAAAAUGGGUAAGGCAAUAUGCACGCCUGAACGGUACCUAAUCAGAGGGCCACGGCACGUUUCAUC